GACAGAGGCCUCGAGCGUUAGGCGGAAUCACUGGGCUUAAAGCGUGUGUAGGCGGAUCGUUAAGUACCUUGUGAAAUCCCACGGCUCAACCGUGGAACGGCUGGGUAUACUGGCGGUCUUGGGCCAUUCAGGGGCGACUGGAACAAGCGGUGGAGCGGUGAAAUGCGUAGAUAUCUGGAGGAAUACCGGUGGCGAAGGCGGCGUUCUGGACUGCAACUGACACUGAUGAACGAAAGCCAGGGGAGCAAACGGG
Molecule: ribosomal RNA, 253 nt
Filed under: uncultured bacterium
Lineage: Bacteria
Description: partial 16S ribosomal RNA
Rfam family: Bacterial small subunit ribosomal RNA
Source: RNAcentral